Gambusia affinis (western mosquitofish) is the source of this 816-nucleotide long non-coding RNA. RefSeq lists it as uncharacterized. Lineage: Eukaryota; Metazoa; Chordata; Actinopteri; Cyprinodontiformes; Poeciliidae. The record is from RefSeq and is a predicted model, not a curated record. The transcript has 3 exons.
CAGCACUGUGACCUCUCUGCAUGUUCCCCAUUUGUGUUGUGUUCCGGGGUCCUGGCUGCAUGGUGGGAUUUCCUGUGCGCCGUAUCACCUUUUUACCACCAGAUGGCGACAGGUUCUGGUUGGAGUGCGGGGCAUCAUCAUCCGCAGCUGUUCAGGAUCAUCCUCAUCAGCGGUGCAGAUUUAAGGAGUUGGCCGCCAGUCCAGCGUCGCCUGAGUGUUAGCCAGUCACGGUUAUCCCUUGACGAGAUCCUGACUGAUUUCCUGGUUUUUUGAACCGCCCUCGUGACGCCGUGGAAAAUACCCACAGGUUGCCCGAGUUCCCAGACUCAUCUCUCCGUUGUUUGCAAAUCUUCCCUGGACUCCACGGCUGGCGGCCGUUCCAUUCCUCCGUGUCUCCGUUGCACCCAAGCCUACCUGUCCGCUCCCCGCCGCACUCCUCCAUUGUUCCUGGACCCACCAAGAAAACAAGACCCCGGACAUACACAGUUUCCCCUCCAAGACUUCAUUCAUCUACCACAAUGAACUAUUGUUGCUGUUAUUGUCGUUUUUCCCCGGACCAGACCAUCCUGAUCAUCUCUCAAUAUUGUGUGAUCACUAUUAAAUCAUUUAACACUGAUACUACCUCUCCUGUUUUGGUGUUCUGCAUGUGGGCUUGUUUCAAACUACCAUCAUGACAGAACACUCAGGCCAACAAAUCAGCCCAGCAGACGCAAUCCGGAGAGCCUUAGCCGAACAACAAUCAAUAUUACAAACUCAUGAAAACGCAUUAAGAGAACUAAGUAAAAUCCAAACUGAAACUAACCAACAACUGUCUGA